UACAGAGGGUGCGAGCGUUAAUCGGAAUUACUGGGCGUAAAGCGUGCGUAGGCGGCUUUGUAAGUCGGAUGUGAAAUCCCCGGGCUCAACCUGGGAAUUGCAUUCGAGACUGCAAGGCUUGGGUGCGGAAGAGGGAAGCGGAAUUUCCGGUGUAGCGGUGAAAUGCGUAGAUAUCGGAAGGAACAUCAGUGGCGAAAGCGGCUUCCUGGUCCAGCACCGACGCUCAGGCACGAAAGCGUGGGGAGCAAACAGG
RNAcentral lists this ribosomal RNA (253 nucleotides) under uncultured bacterium. RNAcentral's name for it is "partial 16S ribosomal RNA". It matches the Rfam family "Bacterial small subunit ribosomal RNA", at positions 524 to 776 of the family's 1533-position model. The record is from RNAcentral.